GAUGAAGAACGCAGCGAAAUGCGAUAAGUAAUGUGAAUUGCAGAAUUCAGUGAAUCAUCGAAUCUUUGAACGCACAUUGCGCCCCUUGGUAUUCCGAGGGGCAUGCCUGUUCGAGCGUCAUUAUAACCCAUCAAGCUCAGCUUGGUGUUGGGGCCUGCUGCACUGGCAGCCCUUAAAAUCAGUGGCGGCGCCAUCUGGCUCUAAGCGUAGUAAUUCUUCUCGCUAUGGAGUCCUGGUGGAUGCUUGUCAUCAACCCCCAAUUUUUCUAUGGUUGACCUCGGAUCAGGUAGGGAUACCCGCUGAACUUAAGCAUAUCAAUAAGCGGAGGA
Molecule: unclassified non-coding RNA, 329 nt
Filed under: soil metagenome
Description: partial contains 5.8S ribosomal RNA, internal transcribed spacer 2, and large subunit ribosomal RNA
Rfam family: 5.8S ribosomal RNA (bases 1-120)
Source: RNAcentral